Molecule: long non-coding RNA, 6020 nt
Organism: Marmota monax (woodchuck)
Lineage: Eukaryota; Metazoa; Chordata; Mammalia; Rodentia; Sciuridae
Exons: 5
Source: RefSeq, a predicted model, not a curated record
GCCGAAGAGCUUUGGAUUGGAGCUCGUUACCUGCCGUUCUCAUUGGAUGUAGAUGUGAAACUUCACGGAUUGGUGGGAAAAACAGCAGGUAGGAUAUCUUCCACUUAUGAUUGGCUGUCUUCGAAGCCCAACCUUAUUGGAGAAUCAGGGAUUGAGUAAGCAAGUCCUGAGAAAUGAUUGGGAGAGACGACUCCGGAUGUGCUUGACUGAGCACUGAUUGGUGCAUUGAGGGGUCAGGAAGAGCAGUUCCACACGAGGAUUGGCGGUGGAGUGUCCCAUGGAAACGGAACCCAGAACAGCAGCCAGGAGCUUGCACGGGGGCGGGGCAGGGUGUUUCCAAGGCGCCUGCGCUAAACCAGCUUCUCGGCGCCAUUUUGUCCCGGCAGCAGUGGUCGCAGCUCUAUCGCAUUUUAUGUUCCUGGCUGGAGGAAGCGGAGUUUUCAGCCGGUAGAUUUAUUUUAAUGUGGCGCGCAUUCAGCGUUCCCUCCGGGACAGCACUCAAUGAAGACCGGUGGAGUCUCAGAGCUUUUGAAAAGUUGGUUGAAGACAACAUAUCAGUGGCAAACAGCUCAAGUAUGAUAGAGGGACUUGCCAUGCUUCCUAGACUGGCUUCAAACUCCUGGGUUCAGAUUUUCCUCUUGCCUCAGACUGUUGGGUAGCUGGGACUACAGAAUAAGACUGAUUUUUCUGGGGAAAUGAAGCUAUGUAUCCCAGUUUUGAAAGACUUGAAUCUUCUGUGUCUUGAAAAAUCCCAUUUCUGACAAAUGCACAGAGCAUUUUCUACUGGACAUGCUUCUCACAGAGGAAAGAAAACUAAUAUUCACCAAGAUAAUGCUUCCCUCCACCUUCUGGUUUCAUGAAAAAUUAAGCCACUUCCUUCUUUUGAAAAAAAGGAAAGAAUUAAAUUCAAAUGUUAGUAAAACUAAUUCUUCUCAAAGGUUGUAUUCUAAAUAAAGAUUGCUACUGCUUUGAGUAAAAGCUUAAAACUGUAAAGUUAACAAAAAAUAAAAAUAAGAGAUGGUUUUUAAUCUCUGACCAUUAAAUGAACAAUUAUACAGUUCCUGAUUGGGGGCCCUGAACUCUUCAUCCACCUAUAUGUUGGAAAUAAUUCUCCUAACACCUUUGUGUUGCUCUUUUUGAAAGUUGAUGUUGAGGGGCUGGGGAUGUGGUUCAAGCAGUAGCGCGCUUGCCUGGCAUGCGUGCGGCCCAGGUUCGAUCCUCAGCACCACAUACAAACAAAAGAUGUUGUGUCCGCCGAAAACUAAAAAAUAAAUGUUAAAAUUCUCUCUCUAAAAAAAAAAAUUUAAAAAAAAGUUGAUGUUGAGUUUAAAAUAUGUGAAACCAUCUGCUGUUAAUUUCCCCUUUUUCACCUAGUUAUAUACUGUUCUUGGGUACAGGUGAUUGAACUUAGGGGCACUCAGCCACUGAGUCACAUCUCCAGCACUAUUCUGUAUUUUAUCUAGAGACAGGGUCUCACUGCUUAGUGCCUCCCUUUUGCUGGGGCUGGCUUUGAACUCGAGAUCCUCCUGUGUCAGCCUCCUGAACCGAUGGGAUUACAGGUGUGUGCCACCACACCCAGCAAGCUGUAUAUUUUUAUAACAUUUCUCAUAAAAUCAAAAUGAGUUUUCUUAAAUACCUCUUGCCCCUAUUGCUUCAUUCUGCUGUUUAGCCUUAUGACAGAAGUAAAAUCUCUUUUUGAAUUUUUUCAAGUUGUAGAUAGCCACAAUACCUUUAUUUUAUUUAUUUUACAUCGUGCUGAGGAUUAAACCCAGUGCCUCCCAUGUGCUAGGUGAGCACUCCACCACUGAGCCACAGUCUCAGCCCAGAAGUAUAAUCUCGUAAAUACUUUGAAGUAUCUUUUCUGUUUCUUUUCUUGCCCCAUGAAAAACUGAUAUUUUUCUGAUCCUUGCAAGUUUUGCCUUUUCCAAAAUAUCACAGUUGUAAUUAAGCAGUAUGUAUGAGUCAUACAGCCUUAAUUUCCAUUUCAAGUAUACACCUGUCAGUAGGAACAGUGAGUUAUGUGUUAAGUGUUAAACUUCAUAAGAAAUUGGCGAACUGUUUUCAAAUGCAGCCAUACCAUUUUACUUUACAGCAGCAAUGACCAUUCCUGUUAAUCCACAUCCUCACCAGUACUUGGUGAUUUGUCUUUAAUUGUACACUAUCUAAAGCUGAGUGAUAACACAUUGUAAUUUUAAUAUGUAUUUCUCUUAAUAGUGAAAAGCAUCUUUUCACAUAGGUAUUUGCCAUCAAUGUAUCUUGUUUAGUGAAUUGCCUGACUCUUUUGUCCAUUUUUUUACAAUUAGGGUAUUUCAUGUUUUGAAAGUUCUGUGUAUCUGCUGUGCACAAGUCCUUUGUUAGAUGAUUUGCAAGUAUUUUUCCUCAGUUUUUCCUAUUUUGUCAUUCUUAAAACGUUUUAUUGUGUAACUUUAAUGGAUUUAAUGAAUGAUUCUUUCUUAAAACCAAUAAGAGAUCUUUGUAUAUUUUUUUGGAAUUAUCCUGUGGAUAGGUGUCCCAGUAUUCUAGCAUCAUUUGUUGAAAAAUCAUUCCUUUCUCCACUGAUUUGCCUUUUCACUCAGUUGAUCAUAUUUGAAAUCUGAUUUUGAACUCCAUUGUGUCCCAUUAACAUUGUGUCUGGAGCAUUAGAGUUAAGUCUGGAUUUUUGUUUUUGUUUCUUUGGUGUGUUAAAAGAUCAAACCAGAAUCUCACACAUACUAGGCAAACACCACUUAGCUGCAUCCCCUAAUAGUAAGUUUUGAAGCCAGGUAGUUUCUCUGCGUGUUCUUUUUCUAUACUAUUUUGUCUUUUCAAAUUGCUUUUCUUAUAAAAAUUUUAGAAACAGCUUAUUAAUUUUACCCUUCCUGCUCUCUGUGCCUCUUAAGAUUAGGUUUACAUUGAAUUUAUAAAUCCCUUUGCAAAUUGAUGUUUUAACCAUACUCGGUCUUCUGAUCACUUCUAAUUCUUUUUAAGUUUAAAUUUCUAUCUUUACUUUUUUGUUGCUUUUUUAAAUGGUGCAUAAAUCCUCACUGUAUAGAUGAAAUUUAGUAAUUCUCCAAAAUCGCAAUUAUUAAAAAUGACAAAGCCAGCCAGAUUGAAACCUGUAUCAAUUUAUAAACUAUAUCCUAGGUUUAAUUAUAAUGCUAUCUUUCUUAAUUUGUUUACACUGAAGUAGGCUAGAAGCCCCCAGCUUCUUUUGUCAAGAAAAAUCCCAUUACUGUGCUUCAGUAUAAGAAUUGAUCCUACAAAUGUUACAUAUUUCUGAGCUUCAGUUUUCCAGAAAUUCAGAUAAAUCACUGACAUUUUUGAGCCAGUAUUUUUAAAAUAUUAUACCUUACUUUGUACUUUACUACUAGGAAUUAUUUCUGUAAGAUGUGUACCGGGAGAGGGAAGAGGGCAGGGAAAGUGGAAAUACAGGGUUGAAAUGGAGCAAAUUUUAAGUCCAUCGCCUUAACCACUCGGCCACGACUACCCGGGAGCAAAUUUUAUUACAUGCAUGUAUGACUAUGUCUAAAUGAACCCCUACUAUUACACCUAACUAACCAUUUUUUAAAAGACAUGUGCCUUGAGCAUUUGGAUGCCUGACUCCUUGUUCACCAGAUAAAAAGUAGGAAGUGUGUUUUUUUUUUUUUUUUGGUUGUUUUAAAUAACUUCUUGUAAAAUGUAGGUCAAGUACCUAUAGUCUGGGGGGCUAUACACUUAUUUCAUUAAAGACAUUGUAGAUUUAUACAAACAGUCUCAGUGGUAGAACCAAAGUUUUAUUUAGGGUUAGGAGCAACUGCACUGUUAUUCUUGGGUUUUUAAAAACCUGACAUUUAAAUAAGAAACAUGUAAAGAGGGUUUUUGGCAAGGGUGAAUUCUAACUAUCAUUUUUGAAGGCAGUUUGGUGGGAGCCAUUAGGAAAGACCUGUCAAGAAAUAGCCUAGGCACAUAGUAUGGAUAUAGGAAAGUAAAAUCUAGGUCAAGUCUGGAUUGCAUUUCCAAAGGUAAGAAAUUUAAAAAUUAGAGAAACAUUAGGAGUUAAUAUUAUACAUAAACACAGUUUCAUUUAAGGAUUUCUUCUGGUUUCUUAGUAUUUUGAAAUGUUGAUAUUUUUAUAAAAUGGAAACACUAUAAUUUUAAUUUGCUGCUUACCUUGUGAAAUUUAUUCCAAUGUUUCCAUCAUAUUAAUAACCUGUGACUUCAUUUUUUAGGUCCCUUUAGGAGUGACAGAAAUAAAAACCAAUGGAUCAUCUCAUCAGAUAAGUUAUUUUACAUUCUAAAUAUAUUAUGUUGGAAACUCUAAACUAGAACUUUGUUCUUUAAAAAUUAUGUUUUGUUUUUGUUUUUUAAGGUACCAGUAUCAAGAUGAUUUACAGCAAUAAGGUAUUCAGUCUUAAACAUUGUAUUCAUGUCAAAGUAAAACAUAUCAGCUUUUUUUCCUGGAGGCUUGCCAUUUCUCAAUGAUAUGAUUACAGAAUGGCCCUACAAUUAAACCUACAUUAAUAAUGAAAAUCUCUCAUUUUUCUUUCAUAAUAGAUAUCAAAUUAGGUAUAUGUUGUAUAUGUUUUAAGUUUAGAUUAAUCCAGUAUCACGGUAAAUUUAUAUUUCUCUAGUACCAGUGUCUUCUCUUAUAGAGGGUUAUUAGCUGUACUGAUAGGAAUUUAAGAACAGUUAAGCCCACAGCAUAGUAAGUGAAGUUUUAGGACUCGCCCUAGUUGACUGAGGGAGAGUCAAUUUCUGUCUGAAAAUAGAUCCAGUUUAGUAUUAUUUGGGCAUUUGUCCAAAGCCAACACUUAUCACUCUCUGCUAAGAAUGAUUUGUAAAAUAUAGCAGGUAAUCUCAUACUAUGGAAUUCAUGGUAAGAUGCUCAAAGCCCAGCAAUACCCUGCAGCUAAACUCUCAGUGACUAGAUUACCUUCUUAGGAAAGCAGUAACAGUUGAAUGGAGUGAUGCUGGCAUGAACUCAAUUUAGGGUGUGUAUACUUGGCCUGAGUUCAGAUUGUUCCUGCUCUGAGUAGUGCUGUUCAGGGCACAUUUGUAAUUCUUCAGGCCACAGUUCUGAUUUUUGUAAAGACAGAAAGUGACCUAACAUAAAUCCUUAACUUACCACAAUAAAAGGAAAAAAGCAAAAAUAUUUUUUUGACUUCUCAGAUAGUGUCUUUCUAAAAAACUGAAAACAUCUUUCUUACACCUAAAAAGUCAAAACUGGCUGAUGACCAGUAUAAAAGAACCAAACAGACUGAAUUCAUCUUAUUCCAAAGACUCAUUUUACAGUAUUCUAAGGAAUUUUAGUAGUAGGCGUAAGUCUGUAUUUUAACAAUAAGCAAAUGUAAUGAAUGUCAUUGAUCAUUUCUCCAAUUAUGUCAAGUAGAUAUUAACCAAACUUCAGUGGCUACAAGUCAAAAAUUUAAUGAAAACUGGUCAGGGGCUAAAGUUACAUGGAACUGUUAUAGAAAUUUAUAACAGAAUAGAUGCUGAAGUAAAUGUUACAUAUUAUCAUCAUCUGAUUCAUCCUCUUCCUUCAAAGAUUCCUGUUAAGAGAAAAAUGGUAUUUAUAUUUGAUUAAUAUCAUUAUGUCCCACUUAUUAGCACUCAUUGAAAAUUUAUGUAGAAAAUUUAAAAAUGAAAAACGAAUACUUCUUUAGAAUAUAUACAACUGAAAAGCAUUUUGUGUCCUGAAAACCCUGUCUACUUUUAACCCCCCCAAAAAACUUUGGAACCAGAGUGCAACUUUAUUUCCACUGGAGCUAACCUAGAAAAUGUCUACCCUUGGUUCAACUCUUCAGUAUUUAAUAGGCAAGUUCCUUUAUCAUCAAUACAUGAUUUUAAUUAGUAAAGUUUUUAAUGCUGAAGCUCACCUUAGCAUAUUUCUCUGCUUCUUCCCUUAUAUCUUUUGGAACAAUUUCAUGUCUUCCUUUAGUUACUGUAAAUUAAGGCAUAUAUUUAGUUGAAUUAAAAAUGAGUAUACUGAUUUAGGUAGUAUGAUUGUUCACCUAAGGUUGUGAUACUGUACUAUGAAUAAUAAACAAGAUACUUUGUACUAA